UACGAAGGCCUCAAGCGUUAUCCGGAUUCAUUGGGCGUAAAGGGUCCGCAGGCGGCUAUGUAAGUUGGUGGUUAAAUCUUCGGGCUUAACUUGGAGACUGCCAUCAAAACUACAUAGCUAGAGACCGGAAAAGGUAAGCGGAACACACGGUGUAGUCGUAAUAAGCGCUGAUAUCGUGUGGAACACCAAAGGCGAAGGCAGCUUACUAGGACGUGUCUGACGCUCAGGGACGAAAGCGUGGGUAGCGAAUGGG
RNAcentral lists this unclassified non-coding RNA (253 nucleotides) under Patescibacteria group bacterium. RNAcentral describes it as "contains 16S-23S intergenic spacer region". It matches the Rfam family "Bacterial small subunit ribosomal RNA", at positions 524 to 776 of the family's 1533-position model. The record is from RNAcentral.